ACGGUUUGCUUCAGUCGCUUGCCAGAACCGCACGGAGCCAGUAGUCCAAGAACGCGGGAUACCAUCAUCGCUGUACCACAUACAAGUUAAUUGCGACAAUGUCGGCCAGGCAAUACUACCACGUGCAGUGCACCCCAACGGUGUACCCUGCCGAACCUUUCAACCCUGAAGAAGAUGCUGCUCUCCUUCGAACCGCCAUGAAGGGUUUCGGUACCGACGAACAAACCAUCAUCGACGUCCUCGCCCAUCGCGGUAUAGUGCAGCGUCUCGAAAUUGCCGACAAAUUCAAAACGAUGUACGGAAAAGAUUUGAUAUCCGAAUUGAAAUCGGAACUCGGUGGUAACUUCGAAAAGGCUAUCUUAGCGUUAAUGACACCGCUGCCGGAGUAUUACGCUAAAGAACUCCAUAAUGCAAUUUCCGGUAUGGGCACGGACGAAGGAGCUCUCAUCGAGGUGCUAGCAUCGCUCAGCAAUUAUGGCAUCAAGACCAUAUCUGCCGUUUACAAGGAACUGUACGGAAAUGAAUUGGAGGAUGACUUGAAAAGCGACACGUCCGGCCAUUUUAAGAGGCUUUUGGUUUCUCUCUCUUGCGCUAACAGAGAUGAGAACCCCGAUGUUGACGAAGAAGCUGCAAUCGAAGACGCUAAAAGAUUGCAAGAGGCUGGUGAAGGUCAAUGGGGAACCGACGAAAGCACAUUCAACGCAAUCCUCAUAACUAAAAGUUAUCCUCAAUUGCGAAAGAUUUUCGAGGAAUACGAACGUCUUGCUGGAGUUAGUUUAGAAGAAACUAUUAAGAGCGAAUUUUCAGGAGCAAUUGAAGAUGGUUACCUCGCAGUCGUCAAAUGUGCUCGAAAUAAGACAGCGUACUUCGCGGAAAGAUUAUACAAAGCUAUGCGUGGCCUUGGUACCGACGAUUCCACGCUGAUACGUAUUAUUGUAACACGAUCAGAAAUAGAUUUGGGUGAUAUUAAGGAAACUUAUCAAAUUAUGUACGGACAGUCUCUCGCAGGAGAUAUUGACAGUGACUGCGGCGAAGAUUUUAAGAGGCUUUUGAUUGCACUUUUGAGUUAAAUCUAUGGAAGGGAAUAUCCGUUCGCAUUAAUUCUAUUUCAAAACUACAACAUUGGUCAUCUGUUUCUAACAUCAAGCGAUUGCGACGCUGAGUGGAAAAAGCUUUUGAUCGCGAUGCUGAAUUAGGAACACGUUUUAAUAGCGUUUCAUUCAAUGUCUAAAUGAUAGUUCGAAAAAAGUACAGGACGAGGAAAUAAAUUCCAGCUACUAGACACCGAGGAACCAUUAUGUUUUCAGCGCUGAACAUUGCGGACCUUUGUGUUACGAAAACGUUAAGAAGGAAAACAUAAAGGCAAAAAUACAAGUUGAAUAAAUAUACUUCGUUCAGAUUAAGUCAGUGGUUCUCAAACUGUGCGUUUAGGUGCCUUAGGGGCACUAGCGUAUUUAGUGUAUUAGUCUGGUAAUAUGUAGUAAGAGUGACAGAAUUAUUUUGGCAAAUUCUUAUUUGAGGAAAUUUCGAUUUAGAAAUUUUGAUAUUCGGUAAUUUAUUCAUUUUUGGGAUUACCAAUUUUGAGAAUGUGGAAUUAUGUAACUUUGGAAUUGAGAAGUUUAGAAUUUUGGGUAUUAAAGUAUUACAGAAUUUACGAAUCUUUAUUAAAGUAUUAAAGAAUUUAGGAAUCUGGAAGUGUGAGAAUUUGAAAAUUGAAAGAAUUAGAGAUUUGGAAAUUAUAAAAACUUGAAGAUCUGAUUUUUUAAAUACUUGAAGGUUAGAAAAUAUAAGAAUUGAUAAUUUAAAAAAUGGGUCGGACAAAUUAUGACAUGCCAAGAACACUAUAUAACUAGUUUGAGAACCACGAAAUAAACUUCCUCUUAAAUGUAAUCACUUAUGUUUUUUAUGAAAUAUAGCACAUAUAAUAUUUUGUAACAAUUUUUUUUCACUUUUUCUGUUUGUUUUUAAUGCGAUUGAUACAAAACAUUCCACAUUAUAUUAUUUAUUAUUGACUGUUAUUAUCUUUGCUAUUCGUAAUGAAUAAAUUUAAGAUAAGAAGAAUUGUACACCGUGCUGUUUUACAUUGCUAGUCUAAAAUAAAUGUUGUUAAUUUUAAAAUAAAGAUGAAAGCUUCGGUUCAAGAUAUAAGUUGGGAGAAUGUUUAGUUUUCCUUGGACAAAAUGAUAAAAUGGAAGUCAUCGAUAAAAAGGGAAGUACCAAAAUGAUAAUAAUCAUCAUCAUAUUAUAGCGCAGAAACAUGUCCGUGAGUUACUCUGAGACCUUGUACGCAUGCUUGAAAACAAGGCAGGAAAAUAUUAUAUUUGUGCUCUUACAACGAUAGUACAGUAAAUCCUUAUUAAGGGACACUUUUUAAGGGAUACAUAAAAACUAAUUACGUCAUCAUUGAGAGUGCUGUAGCUGCUUUCUCUUUGACUACUCUGUUAAAAUUUACUGUGCAUAUCUAUCUUUUAUGGUUUAGGACUGCACAGGGUGUCAAGGUUAACCAAUUAAUUCUUUGUGCAUGUCACAGGCGUUCCACAACUUAGUAAUUACAUGAUUAAACAAUAUGUUUAAUUAAGUCAUGCACUGUAUGAAAAGUGGUAAAAAUAAAGAAAAAUUUAUCAACAA
Molecule: unclassified non-coding RNA, 2628 nt
Filed under: Megachile rotundata (alfalfa leafcutting bee)
Lineage: Eukaryota; Metazoa; Arthropoda; Insecta; Hymenoptera; Megachilidae
Description: annexin B9-like, transcript variant X4
Source: RNAcentral